AUAGCCCUGUGCUUUAUUAGCGCAGUGUUAGAGAAGUGAGGACCGAACAAUAUGACGGGGCAAGAGCUCCGCUUAGCUUAGUUAGGAAGGCAAUAUUGCGCGUGCUAAGGCUAAGUAAGCAUCAAAGCCCAUAGCGCGAAAGGGAAGAAUCAGAGUCUGGGCGGCGGGCGGUGGGAUAGAAAAUAUGAUGUUUUCCAAAGAAUGAUUCUCCAAUCGUACAUAAUAGCCACCAAAACCGAUUUUUCAAGC
RNAcentral lists this long non-coding RNA (249 nucleotides) under Amborella trichopoda. RNAcentral describes it as "long non-coding RNA (ATRI_LNC000690)". Lineage: Eukaryota; Viridiplantae; Streptophyta; Magnoliopsida; Amborellales; Amborellaceae. The record is from RNAcentral.